GAUGAACGCUAGCGACAGGCCUAACACAUGCAAGUCGAGGGGCAGCACAAGGUAGCAAUACUGAGGUGGCGACCGGCGCACGGGUGAGUAACGCGUAUGCAACCUGCCUGUAACAGGGGAAUAGCCUCUUGAAAGAGAGAUUAAUGCCGCAUAAUACGAGAUUCGGGCAUCCGGAUUUAGUUAAACAUUUAUGGGUUACAGAUGGGCAUGCGUUUCAUUAGGUAGUUGGUGAGGUAACGGCUCACCAAGCCGACGAUGAAUAGGGGUUCUGAGAGGAAGGUCCCCCACACUGGUACUGAGACACGGACCAGACUCCUACGGGAGGCAGCAGUGAGGAAUAUUGGUCAAUGGACGCAAGUCUGAACCAGCCAAGUCGCGUGAAGGAUGAAGGUAUUAUGUAUUGUAAACUUCUUUUGUCAGGGAAUAAUGGGUGUCACGUGUGACGCAGAGGAAUGUACCUGACGAAUAAGCAUCGGCUAACUCCGUGCCAGCAGCCGCGGUAAUACGGAGGAUGCGAGCGUUAUCCGGAUUUAUUGGGUUUAAAGGGUGCGUAGGCGGUUUGUUAAGUCAGUGGUGAAAGUUUGCGGCUCAACCGUAAAAUUGCCAUUGAAACUGGCGAACUUGAGUACAGUAGAGGUAGGCGGAAUUCGUGGUGUAGCGGUGAAAUGCUUAGAUAUCACGAAGAACUCCAAUUGCNAAGGCAGCUUACUAGGCUACAACUGACGCUGAAGCACGAAAGCGUGGGGAUCAAACAGGAUUAGAUACCCUGGUAGUCCACGCAGUAAACNAUGA
RNAcentral lists this ribosomal RNA (792 nucleotides) under uncultured prokaryote. Its description in RNAcentral is "bacterial SSU rRNA". It matches the Rfam family "Bacterial small subunit ribosomal RNA", at positions 28 to 812 of the family's 1533-position model. The record is from RNAcentral.